RNAcentral lists this non-coding RNA (21 nucleotides) under Arabidopsis thaliana (thale cress). The record is from RNAcentral. Lineage: Eukaryota; Viridiplantae; Streptophyta; Magnoliopsida; Brassicales; Brassicaceae.
UAAAACGCAUGUUAAAUCAUA